This 810-nucleotide unclassified non-coding RNA is filed under the name Hevea brasiliensis (rubber tree). Lineage: Eukaryota; Viridiplantae; Streptophyta; Magnoliopsida; Malpighiales; Euphorbiaceae. The record is from RNAcentral.
GCAGACAUUUCGAUUAUUGAAAUUUGCCCAUUUUGCUUGAGAAGCAAGACGGGCAGACAUUUCGAUUAUUGAAAGCCUCCAACAAUGUUAUUGUUAGUGAAUGGAAGUAACGUUGAAUUGCUGUGCCUCUUAUUGCAUGUUAUUGAGUAAGACCUUUAUGGUAUCUGGAUUAAUUAGUCAUGAAGUCACUCUGGUUGCAGUGGUUUCAAUUAGAUCAAUAGUUCAAUGUUUAGUGUGACUGUGCAAACCAUGGACUAUGCAACCGAGUUAAAGAUGAAUUUGGGAUAAGCUUAUUACUUGUGGCAAUGUGUUGAGAGUGAAAAAAGAGAAAGUGAAAGUUGAUAUUUGAUGAUUACGCAAAAAAGGAACCAUAUUUGCUGUCACUUCAUAUAUUCAUAUUAGUAGAAGACUGGCAUGGACAUUCCUUGAACCCUUCUUUUGAAAUUCAUUGAGCUAUUAGUAAAGAUAAGAGAUGCAUUUAGUGUUCUUGAACACACGGCAGGAUCCUCGUUAGUUCUAUAUGGCAACUGGCAAACAAGGUUUAGUGCAUUGUGUGAGAGAGAAAGAGGUUCCAAUCUGAAGGAAGUUCAUGUUUUCCUGUUCCUUAACCUUUUUUCCCUUAAUUUACAUAAUAGUUAAUGUGACUUGUCACAAAUAAAAUUGGAUUUCUUGUGAAGGAUGCACGGUGGUUCUUCACUAGUUGCGUGUUGGUUUCUUUUAUUCUCCGUCUGCAAGUUAGAGAGCAUAAGAACUUCGAGAUGGUUUGCAGUGUGGCUGUUAACUGAAAGUAUCUCAGAAUAUCCAAUCCAG